Molecule: ribosomal RNA, 432 nt
Filed under: uncultured bacterium
Lineage: Bacteria
Description: partial 16S ribosomal RNA
Rfam family: Bacterial small subunit ribosomal RNA
Source: RNAcentral
CCUACGGGAGGCAGCAGUUAGGAAUUUUGGGCAAUGGGCGAAAGCCUGACCCAGCAACGCCGCGUGGGCGAAGAAGGCCUUCGGGUCGUAAAGCCCUUUUCCAGGGGAAGCGGUACCCUGGGAAUCAGCCCCGGCUAACUACGUGCCAGCAGCCGCGGUAAUACGUAGGGGGCAAGCGUUGUCCGGAUUUAUUGGGCGUAAAGCGCUCGCAGGUGGUUCAUUGCGUCGUGCGUGAAAGACCCCGGCUCAACUGGGGAGGGUCGUGCGAAACGGGUGAACUAGAGGCCAGUAGGGGGAUGCGGAAUUCCGGGUGUAGUGGUGGAAUGCGUAGAGAUCCGGAGGAACACCAGCGGCGAAGGCGGCAUCCUGGACUGGCCUGACACUCAGGAGCGAAAGCGUGGGGAGCGAUCCGGAUUAGAUACCCUUGUAGUC